RNAcentral lists this ribosomal RNA (301 nucleotides) under uncultured bacterium. RNAcentral describes it as "partial 16S ribosomal RNA". It matches the Rfam family "Bacterial small subunit ribosomal RNA", at positions 509 to 807 of the family's 1533-position model. The record is from RNAcentral.
CAGUAGCCACGGUAAUACGGAGGAUCCAAGCGUUAUCCGGAAUCAUUGGGUUUAAAGGGUCCGUAGGCGGUCUUGUAAGUCAGUGGUGAAAGCCCAUCGCUCAACGGUGGAACGGCCAUUGAUACUGCAGGACUUGAAUUAUUGGGAAGUAACUAGAAUAUGUAGUGUAGCGGUGAAAUGCUUAGAGAUUACAUGGAAUACCAAUUGCGAAGGCAGGUUACUACCAAUUGAUUGACGCUGAUGGACGAAAGCGUGGGUAGCGAACAGGAUUAGAUACCCGGGUAGUCCCUGUCUCUUAUAC